GAUGCUGGAGAUAAGAGAAAAAAUACAUCGCGUGCGUGAAACAGCAUCUCGCUGAAAAAUUACGGCAAAGAUAUUACGGGUCAUCUCUUAUAUUUCGCAAAGUCAAUAACGCAGUUACGUAAUCAGAUAAAGAGCACAAUUGGAAAUUAUGUAACUAAUUCUAUGAUGCGAACCUGCCAGUAAAUGCCUGAAGCGUGCGAUUUCAUUAAUUACGUUCAAUGUACUCAAAUGACAGAGCAGAAGACGGUCCGCAUUAUUCGAUCAAUGGAUCACGCCUAUUACAUCAUGAGAAUCAGUACACGUGGAUCCCUGGCAGAGCAGAUUAUACGUUUACGCAACGAAAACGAGGUGGAACACAUAUUCUAACAUUUUUUUUUUAGCAUUUCAAAUCACCGUCUACGAUGGUAAUGUCGCGUAUCGUGAUCAAUGUAGAAACUUAUUAAAGAAAGAAGAUAUGUUAUUCACAGCCAAUGGAUCAUCUUGAAGCAAAUAUGAUAGCAAAAAUGUAAUAGAGAGGUUAAGAUGUACAUAGUUGAACAUGAACAUAACCUUGUUUUAUUUGUAAUACCCAUAUGAAAGAUUCGUAAUCUAGAAGAGAAACUUCAACUCAAAUGUAAUCGAAUAAAAUGUGAUUUUACCGAAAACAACAGUAAAAAAAAAGGAUGAAGGAAGAAGAAAGAAAAGAUAAGGAACGUAGAAACAUUGUUUAUUAUUUGGAUACAGAACUAUAAUAUGAAGAAUCUCUAUUUUGCGUUUCCAAGAGAGUAAAAAAGGAGAAAGAAAUAAAACACAAUGAGUAAUUAUAGUAACAAAUAGAUUUACGCGAUACGAUAUGUCACAAGAAUUGAAAACGUUGCUAAAACAUUACAAUCGUGUACAACACGUAUCCUAUUCUCUCACCUAACUCUGAAUUCUCUUUCGUCAAUCGUACGAAUUUAAAUGUAAUAAAAUCAAGAUUUCCAUCUUGGACGGUUUUUCAAAUCUAAAAUAAUUCGAAGCUUUCUUAUCACGAUUCAAUCAAAACGAUUUGCCAGCUCUUUCGACAUUGUAUAUGUACUAUAUAUUUCCCAUUUCUCGCUAUCUUUCUUGAAGAUAUCGUUUCUCUUAUAGCAAUGCUAUGAAUAUGCGAUUCAAUAGAUUAUAGAGAUUCACAAUUUAACCUAAAAUAAC
Long non-coding RNA from Bombus pascuorum, 1170 nucleotides. RefSeq lists it as uncharacterized. The record is from RefSeq and is a predicted model, not a curated record. NCBI's taxonomy places the organism in Eukaryota, Metazoa, Arthropoda, Insecta, Hymenoptera, Apidae. The transcript is spliced from 4 exons.